CAGGAAGUGACAAAAAGGAAUGGUCUUUAUAACUGCCAAGAACUUCCUGUGAAGAGGUCUUUCGCCUUCAACUUGAUCUUGAAGGAGCUCCAGCUUGAGACCUCAGGCUGCUCUUGGACUUUUCCCUUAGAACUACCACAUGGGAUUGGGGCCCACUCUGCUGGGGUGUCAUCUUAUCCUCUAAGAGCCCAGGGUCUGACCCCUGGGAAUAGAACCUGUGGGACAGGAGAAGGCUUCAACCAGGAAAGAAAACACAGUUAGAUUCAACCCAGAGGAACAGGUACAGUUGUACAGCCAAUGAUGGUGGGGACCAAAAAAAGCCUAUGGUAGCUGCCUUUAAAUUCUACCUGUUUAGAGAGAAGACAGUUGAGAGAGAGAACCCACCAAAAAAUAUAAUCAUCGUUGAUCAAAUGCCUACCAACCAUCAAGAUGAGGAAAAUGAGGCUCAGGGAGGUUCUAUUGCUCCUGGGCAGACAACUAGUAAAUAUCAGAAGCAGGAUCAGAACUCGUCUUCCUGACUCCAGAUCGAGGACUCUGUGAGCUAUGCCAAUCUCAUUCCCUUUGGGAAGCAUUUCAAAAUAAACUCACCCAAUUCUAACCA
This 601-nucleotide long non-coding RNA is filed under the name Monodelphis domestica (gray short-tailed opossum). Its description in RNAcentral is "lncRNA (ENSMODG00000033229.2)". Lineage: Eukaryota; Metazoa; Chordata; Mammalia; Didelphimorphia; Didelphidae. The record is from RNAcentral.